GAUGAACGCUGGCGGCGUGCUUAACACAUGCAAGUCGAACGAAGCGCUUAAACGGAUUUCUUCGGAAUGAAGUUUUUGCGACUGAGUGGCGGACGGGUGAGUAACGCGUGGGUAACCUGCCUUAUACAGGGGGAUAACAGUUAGAAAUGGCUGCUAAUACCGCAUAAGCGCACAGGGCCGCAUGGCCCGGCGUGAAAAACUCCGGUGGUAUAAGAUGGACCCGCGUCUGAUUAGCUGGUUGGUGAGGUAACGGCCCACCAAGGCGACGAUCAGUAGCCGGCCUGAGAGGGUGAACGGCCACAUUGGGACUGAGACACGGCCCAG
Molecule: ribosomal RNA, 324 nt
Filed under: uncultured bacterium
Lineage: Bacteria
Description: bacterial SSU rRNA
Rfam family: Bacterial small subunit ribosomal RNA
Source: RNAcentral